GUCACUUUGCCGGAGUGGUUAACGGGAUCGCCUGCUAUCAAACAAGUAGCGCAGCGGUUGGGCUUUGCCCGCCUGUGUUCGAAUCGCAGAGGUGACG
Molecule: transfer RNA, 97 nt
Filed under: Ephemerocybe angulata
Lineage: Eukaryota; Fungi; Basidiomycota; Agaricomycetes; Agaricales; Psathyrellaceae
Description: Coprinellus angulatus tRNA-Ser
Source: RNAcentral